AAGUGAGAAGCAAAUAUUGCAAUCAGUUUCGACCUGAUCCUAGAUAAUACCCCUUAUCCUCACUUU
This 66-nucleotide transfer RNA is filed under the name Amitermes sp. ANIC 0930. Its description in RNAcentral is "tRNA-Arg". Lineage: Eukaryota; Metazoa; Arthropoda; Insecta; Blattodea; Termitidae. The record is from RNAcentral.